This 749-nucleotide long non-coding RNA is filed under the name Marmota monax (woodchuck). The record is from RNAcentral. Lineage: Eukaryota; Metazoa; Chordata; Mammalia; Rodentia; Sciuridae.
CAGAAAGGUAAUGACUUAUCCAGGACACAAAGCUUCAUAAAGAGAAGAACUAGAGCCUAGGCCUUCUGGAAACCAACCCAGGCACUAUAUGAAGUUCUCUUGCCAUAUCUGGAAAAUGGGUUCUAGGGACAAGGUGUUCUUAAAGUCUCCUUCCAACAUAGAAACCCUAAUGCACAAACAGAAUAUUUCUACUGGGAUAAUUUCUAAGCACUCAACCAUUGCAUUUGCUAGAUGUUGCUAUGUAUUGUAGCAGCUUAGACAGGUGAGCAAGAGGUGGAAAAGUUCAGAGCUUUGGGCUCCAGGGUCAGUGAAGACACAAAACUAGGUGGAGAAGGCAAAGGAGAGAAAUGUGGAUGAGACCCUACUGCCUGGUCACAAGCAGCAAUAUCCCCUGUGAGCUGCUCUGAGAUGACACUGUUGUUCUAGGUGCUGUGGAGCAGCUGCCCGUGGGGACUUGGGAUCCAGGUCACACACAGUUAAAUGGCAGUGGAAGAAGAUGUAUGUAACAAUCAACAGAAGAAAUGUCACAAGGCAAACUGGCCAUCUUAGUAAUAAGAGCUUCCAUUUAUUGCUAACUGCAAUGUGUGCCCCUCAGUGUGAUAGGUAUUUAUUUUAUAGGCUUGAUCUCAUUAAAUUCUCACGACAAGCUUCUGGGAUUACUGAAGGUCAUACAGCUGGUAAGUGGUGAUUAAUUGUCGGAGGAGUGGUGUGAAGAACAUAAAUUAUGGAGCAGUUUGGAAAGAGCGAAG